CGUUUUCACUGGAUUUUCUAGUGAAAAUUCUUAUUUAAUAAACUAAGAAACUAUACAAAGCCCGAUCCCGAUGCUAAUGGGAAAUCCAAGUUAUGAACAGAGAGACGUAGGUGGCCGGGAUGGGAUCUAGGAAUGCAUUAGAACAUUUCAUUUAUGUUACCCUAAUAAGUGCACUUGCACAACAACUUUAGUUUUCUUUAAAUUCUCAGUCAUUGUAUCUUUUAUAAUUAAAUUUUCUAAAUAACUGUUUCCGCAUUUAUUAAAAACUCUGAGUUUUAAAAUCAUUAUUAUUUUUAUUUA
This is a long non-coding RNA of Alnus glutinosa, 300 nucleotides long. RefSeq lists it as uncharacterized. The record is from RefSeq and is a predicted model, not a curated record. The transcript is spliced from 2 exons. NCBI's taxonomy places the organism in Eukaryota, Viridiplantae, Streptophyta, Magnoliopsida, Fagales, Betulaceae.